RNAcentral lists this long non-coding RNA (457 nucleotides) under Monodelphis domestica (gray short-tailed opossum). Its description in RNAcentral is "lncRNA (ENSMODG00000036739.1)". Lineage: Eukaryota; Metazoa; Chordata; Mammalia; Didelphimorphia; Didelphidae. The record is from RNAcentral.
UUUUGAUAACUGUGCGUGACAUAAUCUGAAGAGAAAUAAACUAAAGCAGGACAAAUGAAAAAUAGAAAACGUUACAAAAUAUCUGAUAUGAAAUUUUACUGUAGAGAGGUCUGGGUAACAGAAGUCUUCAGCAGCUUGCCUUCCUUCUUGAAAGCUAGUUUGGCAAAAAUAACAAGAGCCAACCAACUUUUUCUCACUGAAUAGUACAUUUUGAAUGCACAUCCAGUCCAACUCCACCACCUACCUAAAGGUUUCCUAUUUACCACUUGGUUAGGAGAUCAUUAGUACCAAAACAUCUACAUAUGCUAAAGGCAGCAAGACAUUAUCAUUAAAAGUCAUCAACCCUCUAAAGGAUCUGACUUCCCAGGCUCUUUCAUUUGGGGGUUGUAUCAAAUCCAAAUUGAAAUCCAACUCACUGGUCUAUUGUUUAAAAAUUACUAUAUUUCCAACAUUAGCC